UUUCCGUAGGUGAACCUGCGGAAGGAUCAUUACUGAGUUAGUUUCGAAAGGAACGAUCUCCCACCCUUUGUUUAAUGAAUCUGUUGCUUUGGCGAGUCCGCCGCAAGGCUGUCGACGCAAGUGGACAAGUACUCGCCAAAGAUCUAAACUCGAUAAACUGCUGUCUGAGAAUUUAUUUAAAAAACUAAAAACUUUCAACAACGGAUCUCUUGGUUCUGGCAUCGAUGAAGAACGCAGC
This 238-nucleotide unclassified non-coding RNA is filed under the name uncultured fungus. RNAcentral describes it as "sequence contains ITS1, 5.8S rRNA gene". The stretch from base 190 to 238 matches the Rfam family "5.8S ribosomal RNA", at positions 1 to 49 of the family's 154-position model. Lineage: Eukaryota; Fungi. The record is from RNAcentral.